Molecule: ribosomal RNA, 1237 nt
Filed under: metagenome
Description: bacterial LSU rRNA
Rfam family: Bacterial large subunit ribosomal RNA
Source: RNAcentral
UGAAUACGAGACGCUAAGGCGUCGAAGUAGUGUAUGUCAUACUUCCAAGAAAAGCUUGCACUGUCAUAAGUAAAAAAUGCCUGUACCAUAACCGACACAGGUGGGUAGGUAGAGUAUACUAAGGGGCGCGAGAUAACUCUCUCUAAGGAACUCGGCAAAAUAACUCCGUAACUUCGGGAGAAGGAGUACCUUAUUCUAUAAGGUUGCAAUAACAAGAUCCAAGCAACUGUUUAUCAAAAACACAGGUCUCCGCUAAGUCGUAAGACGAUGUAUGGGGGCUGACGCCUGCCCAGUGCCAGAAGGUUAAAGAAGUCGGUUAGCAUUAGCGAAGCUGGUAACUGAAGCCCUGGUGAACGGCGGCCGUAACAAUAACGGUCCUAAGGUAGCGAAAUUCCUUGUCGGGUAAGUUCCGACCCGCACGAAAGGCGUAAUGAUUUGGAUACUGUCUCGGAGAGGGGCUCGGUGAAAUAGACUUGUCUGUGAAGAUGCGGACUACCUGCACCAGGACAGAAAGACCCUAUGAAGCUUUACUGUAACUUGAAAUUGAAAUUGGACUUUAUUCGCGCAGUAUAGGUGGGAGGUGUUGAUUAUAAUCUUGCGGGAUUAUUGGAGCCAUCAGUGAGAUACCACUCUUGUAUGUUAGAUUUCUAACUUUGAAUCAUUAUCUGGUCAAAGGACAGUUUCAGGCGGGCAGUUUGACUGGGGCGGUCGCCUCCCAAACGGUAACGGAGGCGUACAAAGGUUUCCUCUGAACGGGUAGAAAUCGUAUCUAGAGUGUAAAGGCAUAAGGAAGCUUGACUGUGAGACCUACAAGUCGAACAGGGACGAAAGUCGGUCUUAGUGAUCUGACGGUACUGAGUGGAAAGGCCGUCACUCAACGGAUAAAAGUUACUCUAAGGAUAACAGGCUGAUCUCCCCCAAGAGUUCACAUCGACGGGGAGGUUUGGCACCUUGAUGUCGGCUCAUCGCAUCCUGGGGCGGUAGUACGUCCCAAGGGUUGGGCUGUUCGCCCAUGAAAGCGGUACGCGAGCUGGGUUCAGAACGUCGUGAGACAGUUCGGUCCAUAUCCGGUGUAGGCGUUAGAAUAUUGAGAGGAGCCUUCUUUAGUACGAGAGGACCGAGAAGGACAUACCUCUGGUGUACCAGUUAUCGUGCCAACGGUAAACGCUGGGUAGCUAUGUAUGGAGUGGAUAACCGCUGAAAGCAUCUAAGUGGGAAGCCCACCUCAAGAUAAGUA